This is a long non-coding RNA of Ornithorhynchus anatinus (platypus), 1297 nucleotides long. RefSeq lists it as uncharacterized. Lineage: Eukaryota; Metazoa; Chordata; Mammalia; Monotremata; Ornithorhynchidae. The record is from RefSeq and is a predicted model, not a curated record. The transcript has 3 exons.
CCCACCCACCCACCCACCUCCCCCUCUGCUACGGUUGCACUACAGGUAGCUACUGUGUAUUAUGGACAAAUGAGAAAUGAAUUCUUUUUCCUCUGUCCAUCCUAUUUUAUUUCAAAUAAGGAAAAGUGUAUUGGAUUUGGUGUAAAUACAUCCAGUGAUGACAUUUUUUCAAUGUUUUUAAAGCUGUGUACAGUGCUACAUGUGGUAGGGCGUUCUCUUCAAAUUGUCUAUUGUAGCAAAAAUGUUUUUGUCGUAAAUCUGUUUUGUCUCCUUUUUUUUGUUCUCUUGUCACCCCCACCCCCUCCCCCCACCUCACCCCCACGGCUAGUACCAAUGUACAUAGUAAUUGUAAUGUUUUAGACUUUACAAAAACUUUCCUGUAUUCUGUAUAUAAAAAACCAAAAAUACUUCAGCUCGUGUUUCCUGCCUGUCUGUCUGGGCCUCUUCGAUCCUGCUGCCCUCUGGGAGCUUGCCGACCUUCUGACUCGGCUUAGAGCUGGCGGGAGGAAAGGGUCGUGCCCACGUGCUGAGAGAGGAAGGGGAGGAAAAGAAGCGAAAAGAACCUGGAAGAUCCCCACACCUGAGUGAGUGGUCCCAGGUAAAGCGAAGGCUGGCAGGCAGUGUCGUCCACAGCCAGAAACCAAGGGGCCGUGAGGAGAAACAAGACCCAUUGGAUUCCCUUCCCAGGGCCCUGCUUAUGUGGGUACCGCUUCUGAGCUGCAGAACUCAGCAGUGGCAGCCGAGUGGAGGAAGGGCCGAGCGUUUGGAAAAACAUAUAUAUACUGGACAAGGGACAGGUCAACUGAAAAGUAGGCCAGUGUUUAGUGUCGUGUCCAGUGUCGAACUAGAUGACUGGCUGCCCUGGCAGCAGUACGGGCUGGUGGUAAAAUUCGCUGCUCCUUUGCCUUACCCUCUAAGCAAACUUGCCAGUGGUUGAAACAGUGUGAGCUGAGGUCGGGUGGGGUGGGGAGGGCAGUAGGGGAAGCAGGGAGUGGUUGGAUAAAGGAUUGGAGAGUGGUUGCCAGGACUGACUGUGGUGGGCGAGGGAGUUAUGUGGAAGAGGCUGGGGGAGUCCCAUGGGGGGGUCAGGAGGGAGAUGGCAGAGGGAGACGAGACGGGGAGCUUUCUCCCCAUGCCUUGGGUCACUAGCAUGGAAACACGUGGGAGGUAAGGUGGGGAGGCUGGCUGGCUCCCUCACCCCCAAAAGGUUCCCCCUCUAUGGAGUAAGCUCAAUCAAUCAGUGGUGUUAAUUGAGAGCUUACUGGGUGCAGAGCACUGUACUGAGCGCUUGGGAGAA